GACGCUGAAGAGAGGAGCUUGCUCUUCUUGGAUGAGUUGCGAACGGGUGAGUAACGCGUAGGUAACCUGCCUUGUAGCGGGGGAUAACUAUUGGAAACGAUAGCUAAUACCGCAUAACAAUGGAUGACACAUGUCAUUUAUUUGAAAGGGGCAAUUGCUCCACUACAAGAUGGACCUGCGUUGUAUUAGCUAGUAGGUGAGGUAACGGCUCACCUAGGCGACGAUACAUAGCCGACCUGAGAGGGUGAUCGGCCACACUGGGACUGAGACACGGCCCAGACUCCUACGGGAGGCAGCAGUAGGGAAUCUUCGGCAAUGGGGGCAACCCUGACCGAGCAACGCCGCGUGAGUGAAGAAGGUUUUCGGAUCGUAAAGCUCUGUUGUAAGUCAAGAACGAGUGUGAGAGUGGAAAGUUCACACUGUGACGGUAGCUUACCAGAAAGGGACGGCUAACUACGUGCCAGCAGCCGCGGUAAUACGUAGGUCCCGAGCGUUGUCCGGAUUUAUUGGGCGUAAAGCGAGCGCAGGCGGUUUGAUAAGUCUGAAGUUAAAGGCUGUGGCUCAACCAUAGUUCGCUUUGGAAACUGUCAAACUUGAGUGCAGAAGGGGAGAGUGGAAUUCCAUGUGUAGCGGUGAAAUGCGUAGAUAUAUGGAGGAACACCGGUGGCGAAAGCGGCUCUCUGGUCUGUAACUGACGCUGAGGCUCGAAAGCGUGGGGAGCGAACAGGAUUAGAUACCCUGGUAGUCCACGCCGUAAACGAUGAGUGCUAGGUGUUGGAUCCUUUCCGGGAUUCAGUGCCGCAGCUAACGCAUUAAGCACUCCGCCUGGGGAGUACGACCGCAAGGUUGAAACUCAAAGGAAUUGACGGGGGCCCGCACAAGCGGUGGAGCAUGUGGUUUAAUUCGAAGCAACGCGAAGAACCUUACCAGGUCUUGACAUCCCGAUGCUAUUUCUAGAGAUAGAAAGUUACUUCGGUACAUCGGUGACAGGUGGUGCAUGGUUGUCGUCAGCUCGUGUCGUGAGAUGUUGGGUUAAGUCCCGCAACGAGCGCAACCCCUAUUGUUAGUUGCCAUCAUUCAGUUGGGCACUCUAGCGAGACUGCCGGUAAUAAACCGGAGGAAGGUGGGGAUGACGUCAAAUCAUCAUGCCCCUUAUGACCUGGGCUACACACGUGCUACAAUGGUUGGUACAACGAGUUGCGAGUCGGUGACGGCAAGCUAAUCUCUUAAAGCCAAUCUCAGUUCGGAUUGUAGGCUGCAACUCGCCUACAUGAAGUCGGAAUCGCUAGUAAUCGCGGAUCAGCACGCCGCGGUGAAUACGUUCCCGGGCCUUGUACACACCGCCCGUCACACCACGAGAGUUUGUAACACCCGAAGUCGGUGAGGUAACCUU
This 1393-nucleotide ribosomal RNA is filed under the name Streptococcus sp. 2010_Ileo_MS_IXb. RNAcentral describes it as "bacterial SSU rRNA". It matches the Rfam family "Bacterial small subunit ribosomal RNA", at positions 65 to 1442 of the family's 1533-position model. The record is from RNAcentral. Lineage: Bacteria; Bacillati; Bacillota; Bacilli; Lactobacillales; Streptococcaceae.